UGAGCUUCAUAGAAAUUAACCCAUCUCAAUCCCUCCCUCCUUAUCCUUAGACACUGAGGAAUGUAAAGGUUCAAUAACUUGCCUCAGUGGCUGAGUUGGGGAUUGGAACCAGCAGACCUGGCUUCCACAGUGGCCGACACCGCUCGGGCUCUCUGCAUCUCCUGAGUAGCAGAAAACUACCCCACUGCUGGCGCUGUCACUCUCAUUUUCUGGAAGAGACAAAGGAGACUCAGACAAAAGGAUCUGGAAACUACAGCCAGGUCUCCGACCCCAAGCCCACGCUGCCAUCAGCUCACGCUCGGAUCCUAAAAGAUGACGAUGGGAAUUAUGCUGAGCUCAACAGCUGCGUGAUUCCAUUUAUAGAACUUUAUCAAAACGACAGGAUUAUAGAAAUAGAGGACCGAUGCGUGGCACCAGGAGUUGGGGAGGGGGAGGGUGGUGGCCGUGUCUAUCAAGGGGUAGCGGGGUGGCCCUGGGUUCUACCCCGAGGGUACCCUGUGGCGGUGCACACGCCAGUCUACACGAGUGAUAAAAUCGCACAGAACUAAGUUCGCGCGCACAUGCGCCCGCGUGAGCUCAGGUAGAGCCACGGAAAUCUGGAAAUCUGAUUGAGGUGGGUGGAUCCUAUCCACGUCGGUUGCCUGGUUUGUGAUGUUGUAACUAUAGGUUUGCAAGGUGUUACCUUUGAGGGAAACCGGGUGAAGGGUAUACUGGCUCGUUAUUGUUUCUUACAUGUGAGUGUCCAGUGAUCUCGAUACAAAAAGUUUACUUUUUAAAGAAACAGGAUGGGGCGCCUGGGUGGCGCAGUCGGUUAAGCGUCCGACUUCAGCCAGGUCACGAUCUCGCGGUCCGUGAGUUCGAGCCCCACGUCGGGCUCUGGGCUGAUGGCUCAGAGCCUGUAGCCUGCUUCCGAUUCUGUGUCUCCCUCUCUCUCUGCCCCUCCCCUGUUCAUGUUGUGUCUCUCUCUGUCCCAAAAAUAAAUAAACGUUGAAAAAAAAUUAAAAAAAAAAA
This 1011-nucleotide long non-coding RNA is filed under the name Felis catus (domestic cat). RNAcentral's name for it is "lncRNA (ENSFCAG00000050926.1)". Lineage: Eukaryota; Metazoa; Chordata; Mammalia; Carnivora; Felidae. The record is from RNAcentral.